RNAcentral lists this ribosomal RNA (548 nucleotides) under Clostridioides difficile. Its description in RNAcentral is "partial 23S ribosomal RNA". It matches the Rfam family "Bacterial large subunit ribosomal RNA", at positions 662 to 1210 of the family's 2925-position model. Lineage: Bacteria; Bacillati; Bacillota; Clostridia; Peptostreptococcales; Peptostreptococcaceae. The record is from RNAcentral.
GGAGCCGUAGCGAAAGCGAGUUUUAACUGAGCGUUCAUUUACUUGACGUAGACCCGAAACCGGGCGACCUACCCAUGAGCAGGAUGAAGCGAAAGUAAAAUUUCGUGGAGGUCCGAACCCACGAGCGUUGAAAAGCUCGGGGAUGACUUGUGGGUAGCGGUGAAAUUCCAAUCGAGCCCGGAGAUAGCUGGUUCUCCCCGAAAUAGCUUUAGGGCUAGCCUCAAGGUGAGAGAUACGGAGGUAGAGCACUGAAUGUCCUAGGGGGUAUUGCACCUACCGAAGACUAUCAAACUCCGAAUGCCGUCAUCUUAUACUUGGGAGUCAGACUGUGGGUGAUAAGAUUCAUAGUCGAAAGGGCAACAGCCCAGAUCGUCAGCUAAGGUCACUAAAUGUAAGUUAAGUGGUAAAGGAUGUGGGAUUGCACAGACAACCAGGAUGUUGGCUUAGAAGCAGCCACUCAUUCAAAGAGUGCGUAAUAGCUCACUGGUCGAGUGAUCCUGCGCCGAAGAUUUCCGGGGCUAAAACUUACUAGCGAAGCUACUGCAUCA